UAUGGUGAUUUUGCCGAGGGUGUUCACCUCUUCCCAUUCCGAACAGAGAAGUUAAGCCCCUCAUGGCCGAUGGUACUUGCAUUAUGCUGGGAGAGUAGGUAGUUGCCAUAU
Molecule: ribosomal RNA, 111 nt
Filed under: Chitinophagaceae bacterium
Lineage: Bacteria; Pseudomonadati; Bacteroidota; Chitinophagia; Chitinophagales; Chitinophagaceae
Also listed under: 2 other names
Source: RNAcentral